CGGCGGACGGGUUAGUAACGCGUGGGAACAUACCCUUUACUACGGAAUAGCCUCGGGAAACUGAGAGUAAUACCGUAUGUGCCCUUCGGGGGAAAGAUUUAUCGGUAAAGGAUUGGCCCGCGUUAGAUUAGAUAGUUGGUGGGGUAAUGGCCUACCAAGUCUACGAUCUAUAGCUGGUUUUAGAGGAUGAUCAGCAACACUGGGACUGAGACACGGCCCAGACUCCUACGGGAGGCAGCAGUGGGGAAUCUUAGACAAUGGGCGCAAGCCUGAUCUAGCCAUGCCGCGUGUGUGAUGAAGGCCUUAGGGUCGUAAAGCACUUUCGCCAGAGAUGAUAAUGACAGUAUCUGGUAAAGAAACCCCGGCUAACUCCGUGCCAGCAGCCGCGGUAAUACGGAGGGGGUUAGCGUUGUUCGGAAUUACUGGGCGUAAAGCGUACGUAGGCGGAUCAGAAAGUAUGGGGUGAAAUCCCAGGGCUCAACCCUGGAACUGCCUCAUAAACUCCUGGUCUUGAGUUCGAGAGAGGUGAGUGGAAUUCCAAGUGUAGAGGUGAAAUUCGUAGAUAUUUGGAGGAACACCAGUGGCGAAGGCGGCUCACUGGCUCGAUACUGACGCUGAGGUACGAAAGUGUGGGGAGCAAACAGGAUUAG
RNAcentral lists this ribosomal RNA (650 nucleotides) under uncultured marine bacterium. Its description in RNAcentral is "bacterial SSU rRNA". It matches the Rfam family "Bacterial small subunit ribosomal RNA", at positions 96 to 781 of the family's 1533-position model. The record is from RNAcentral.